UACGGAGGGAGCUAGCGUUGUUCGGAAGUACUGGGCGUAAAGCGCACGUAGGCGGCUUUGUAAGUUAGAGGUGAAAGCCUGGAGCUCAACUCCAGAAUUGCCUUUAAGACUGCAUCGCUUGAAUCCAGGAGAGGUGAGUGGAAUUCCGAGUGUAGAGGUGAAAUUCGUAGAUAUUCGGAAGAACACCAGUGGCGAAGGCGGCUCACUGGACUGGUACUGACGCUGAGGUGCGAAAGCGUGGGGAGCAAACAGG
Molecule: ribosomal RNA, 253 nt
Filed under: uncultured bacterium
Lineage: Bacteria
Description: partial 16S ribosomal RNA
Rfam family: Bacterial small subunit ribosomal RNA
Source: RNAcentral